RNAcentral lists this unclassified non-coding RNA (231 nucleotides) under plant metagenome. Its description in RNAcentral is "partial contains small subunit ribosomal RNA, internal transcribed spacer 1, and 5.8S ribosomal RNA". The record is from RNAcentral.
UUUCCGUAGGUGAACCUGCGGAAGGAUCAUUAAUUAUAUAAGGCCACAGAGCAAGCUUUCCGAAAGGAUCGAGCUUGCUGUGUGAACCCUACCUACCCUUGCUUUUUACGUACCCAUUGUUUCCUCGGCAGGCUUGCCUGCCAGUAGUACCCUCUUAAACCCUUUGUAAUUGCAGCCAGCGUCAGAAACAACGUAUCGUUACAACUUUCAACAACGGAUCUCUUGGUUCUG